UGGGCGCCNANCGGGCGCANGCGGNUNUNCAANACAGAUGUGAAANCCCCGGGCUNAACCUGGGAACUGCAUUUGUGACUGCACGGCUNGAGUGCGGCAGAGGGGGAUGGAAUUCCGCGUGUAGCAGUGAAAUGCGUAGAUAUGCGGAGGAACACCGAUGGCGAAGGCAAUCCCCUGGNCCUGCACUGACGCUCAUGCACGAAAGCGUGGGGAGCAAACAGGAUUAGAUACCCUGGUAGUCCACGCCCUAAACGAUGUCAACUGGUUGUUGGGANGGUUNCUUCUCAGUAACGUAGCUAACGCGUGAAGUUGACCGCCUGGGGAGUACGGCCGCAAGGUUGAAACUCAAAUAUUUGGACCGGNCCNAC
Molecule: ribosomal RNA, 368 nt
Filed under: uncultured bacterium
Lineage: Bacteria
Description: partial 16S ribosomal RNA
Rfam family: Bacterial small subunit ribosomal RNA
Source: RNAcentral